Long non-coding RNA from Clupea harengus (Atlantic herring), 884 nucleotides. The record is from Ensembl. NCBI's taxonomy places the organism in Eukaryota, Metazoa, Chordata, Actinopteri, Clupeiformes, Clupeidae.
AUUUGCCAAGCCUCCACACCUUCACCUAGGCCAGUGUUUGGCUCUUUCCUGCUGUAGCCAUGGCUACCAACAAUACUCGCAGCAACGCAAUGAGGGUGAGUCCAAGAGGAGUUAACACAAUGGCAGAGGGACAAUUCAAAACCUUGUCUGAGUCAGCUUCUCUCACAGAGAAACAUUUAGCUCACAAAACAGCGAGCUCCACACAGGAAUCGGUACAGGAUUCCUCCAAUGUCUUUAAGGGUGAGAGCUUUAAAGCAGAAUACAAACUUCUUCCCAGAAUCACACACUCGUCGUCACUACGCACCACUCUUUCACCCAAACGCUUCAGAGGAGAACGGAGGGUAACCUUUCUCGAGGACUACACCAACGUCCACAUUUCAGACAAGGACUUGUAUGGACAAAUAUGGACUAAAAACCAAAGCCCCAGCAUAUGUCCCUCCGUGUCAGAUCUGGCUCCACGCACACUUACUGACAUAACACACUUCCAGUCAGAGAUGGAGGCCAGCAUCAACAGACUGCUUCAACUCACCACGGAUCUGGAAAUAGCAACUAUUGUUCCAGAUAAAUCUGCAGCUGACUAUGAUGGAUGUGGAGUGUUUCCACUUUGGAAUGCCUUUCAGCCAAAUCUAUCUGAAGACAGACCCCUGGAGGUGGAUGGAUAUAACUGCACACUGAAGCCAAAGCAAUGUGCUGAAGAUAAAGCUCUCAAGUUAAUGGCACUACCAGCAUCUGUUUCUCCCCAAGGCCUGAUGAACGCACCGCAGAACAUCUUUCCUUCAGACCACAACAAACAGAUCUCUGCAUCACGACUGAUGACUCACAGAAGAGAGGAACCCACAGAAACCAGCAAGGUCAAUCUUAUCAGCUGCCUCAAGUUUAGCGGA